Molecule: unclassified non-coding RNA, 332 nt
Filed under: soil metagenome
Description: partial contains 5.8S ribosomal RNA, internal transcribed spacer 2, and large subunit ribosomal RNA
Rfam family: 5.8S ribosomal RNA (bases 1-120)
Source: RNAcentral
GAUGAAGAACGCAGCGAAAUGCGAUAAGUAAUGUGAAUUGCAGAAUUCAGUGAAUCAUCGAAUCUUUGAACGCACAUUGCGCCCGCCAGUAUUCUGGCGGGCAUGCCUGUUCGAGCGUCAUUUCAACCAUCAAGCCCCCGGCUUGUGUUGGGGACCUGCGGCUGCCGCAGGCCCUGAAAAGCAGUGGCGGGCUCGCUGUCACACCGAGCGUAGUAGCAUACAUCUCGCUCUGGGCGUGCUGCGGGUUCCGGCCGUUAAACCACCUUCAUAACCCAAGGUUGACCUCGGAUCAGGUAGGAAGACCCGCUGAACUUAAGCAUAUCAAUAAGGGA